UACGUAGGGGGCGAGCGUUGUCCGGAAUUAUUGGGCGUAAAGAGCUCGUAGGCGGUUUGUCGCGUCGAAUGUGAAAACCCGGGGCUCAACCCCGGGCCUGCAUUCGAUACGGGCAGACUAGAGUUCGGUAGGGGAGUCUGGAAUUCCUGGGUGUAGCGGUGAAAUGCGCAGAUAUCAGGAGGAACACCAGUAGCGAAGGCGGCUCGCUGGGCCAUUCCUGACGCUGAGACGCGAAAGCUAGGGGAGCGAACAGG
Molecule: ribosomal RNA, 254 nt
Filed under: uncultured bacterium
Lineage: Bacteria
Description: partial 16S ribosomal RNA
Rfam family: Bacterial small subunit ribosomal RNA
Source: RNAcentral